UACUAGUGAUAACUUACAUAGAUACAUGGGAUCACAUACUAGUGAUAACUUACAUAGACACAAGGGAUCACAUACUAGUGAUGACUGACAUAGACACAUCGGAUCACAUACAAGUGAUCACUUAUAACAUAAACAAAUGGGAUCACAUACUAGUGAUAACUUACAUAGACACAUGAGAAUACAUUCUAAUGAUAAUUUACAUAGACACAUGAGAAUACAUUCUAAUGAUAACUUACAUAGACACAUGAGAAUACAUGCUAGUGAUAACUUACAUAGACACAUGGGAUCACAUACAAGUGAUCACUUAUAACAUAGACACAUGGGAUCACAUACUAGUGAUAACUUACAUAGACACAUGGGAUCACAUACUGUGAUAACUUACAUAGACACAUGGGAACACAUACUCGUGAUAACUUACAUAGACUCAUGGGAACACAUACUUGUGAUAACUUACAUAGACACAUGGAAUCACAUACUCGUGAUAACUUACAUAGACACAUGGGAACACAUACUCGUGAUAACUUACAUAGACACAUGGGAACACAUACUCGUGAUAACUUACAUAGACACAUGGGAACACAUACUUGUGAUAACUUAAAUAGACACAUGGGAUCACAUACUGUGAUAACUUACAUAGACACAUGGGAACACAUACUCGUGAUAACUUACAAAGACACAUGGGAACACAUACUUGUGAUAACUUACAUAGACACAUGGGAACACAUACUCGUGAUAACUUACAAAGACACAUGGGAACACAUACUCGUGAUAACUUACAUAGACACAUGGGAACACAUACUUGUGAUAACUUACAUAGACACAUGGGAACACAUACUCGUGAUAACUUACAUAGACACGUGGGAACACAUACUAGUGAUAACUUACAUAGACACAUGGGAUCACAUACUAGUGAUAACUUACAUAGACACAUGGGAUCACAUACUAGUAAUAACUUACAUAGACACAUGGGAACACAUACUUGUGAUAACUUACAUAGACACAUGGGAACACAUACUCGUGAUAACUUACAUAGACACAUGAAAAUACAUGCUAGUGAUAACUUACAUAGACACAUGAGAAUACACGUACAUGGUUGGGAUAAUUAACAUAGACAAAUGUGAACAUAUACUAGUAAAAACGUGAUAAUUUACGUAGAUACAUGAGAACACAUACUCGGUGUGAUAACUUAAGUUGACACAUGAUAACCCAUAUUAGUGAUAAUUUACAAAGACACAUGAGAACAAAUACUAGUGAUGAUUUAAAUAGACACACGAAAACACAUACUAGUGAUAAAUCACGUAGACACAUGAAAACACUUGUGGUAAGUUACAUAGACACAUGAGAAUACAUUCUAGUAAAUAAGGAUUAACAAUGAUUAAGUUAACGUUAUGUAGACACAAUGACAUGAUAACAAAUUCUAGUGACGAUUUACAGACACAUACAGUGAUCACUCUUAGACACAAGAGAACACAUAAUAGUAAAUAAUUGAUAAUUUACGUAAAAACACACAUGAGAACCCAUACUAGUGAUAACUUUACAAAGACACAUGGGAACACAUACUAAACGUGAUAAUUUACAGACACUUGAGAACACAUACUAGUGAUAAUUUACACAUGAGAACACAUACUAGUGAUAAUUUACAUAGACAUAUGAGAACAUAUAAUUACUAAUAAUUUACAUACACAUGAGAACACAUACUAGCAUGAUUAGUAAUUAAAUAAUUGAUAAAUGUCAUUCAUCAAGAUUAUAAUUACUUGACUGUAAAUUAACUGUGUAUAUAUCUGUCUUGUUUGUACAUGUUGUAUUGUGAUGUGUGUGCGGUCGCGGGGAAG
Molecule: long non-coding RNA, 1832 nt
Filed under: Mytilus galloprovincialis (Mediterranean mussel)
Lineage: Eukaryota; Metazoa; Mollusca; Bivalvia; Mytilida; Mytilidae
Source: RNAcentral